This 465-nucleotide ribosomal RNA is filed under the name Vreelandella stevensii. Its description in RNAcentral is "partial 16S ribosomal RNA". It matches the Rfam family "Bacterial small subunit ribosomal RNA", at positions 338 to 795 of the family's 1533-position model. Lineage: Bacteria; Pseudomonadati; Pseudomonadota; Gammaproteobacteria; Oceanospirillales; Halomonadaceae. The record is from RNAcentral.
CCUACGGGUGGCAGCAGUGGGGAAUAUUGGACAAUGGGCGAAAGCCUGAUCCAGCCAUGCCGCGUGUGUGAAGAAGGCCUUCGGGUUGUAAAGCACUUUCAGUGGGGAAGAAAGCCUUGGGGCUAAUACCCUCGAGGAAGGACAUCACCCACAGAAGAAGCACCGGCUAACUCCGUGCCAGCAGCCGCGGUAAUACGGAGGGUGCGAGCGUUAAUCGGAAUUACUGGGCGUAAAGCGCGCGUAGGCGGUCUGAUAAGCCGGUUGUGAAAGCCCCGGGCUCAACCUGGGAACGGCAUCCGGAACUGUCAGGCUAGAGUGCAGGAGAGGAAGGUAGAAUUCCCGGUGUAGCGGUGAAAUGCGUAGAGAUCGGGAGGAAUACCAGUGGCGAAGGCAGCCUUCUGGACUGACACUGACGCUGAGGUGCGAAAGCGUGGGUAGCAAACAGGAUUAGAUACCCGAGUAGUC